AGGUUGAGAAGGUUGGAGUGAGGGAUUUGUCCUUUUGUGUUUGGCUGAAGAAGAUGGAGAUGAUGAAAAAGGAGAAGUCUACACCAUGAAGAAUGGGUCUCUGUCUCGGGACCUCUUAACUGCAACAAAUAUUUGAAAGUUUAUAUUUGUGAGACUAUACCCAAAGUGCCUUCACUGCUCAUUACUGCAGCUCUAGGACAACCUUGGAACUUGGUAGGAGCAAAAUCCAGCAGUGUGGUGAUGCUGGGAAGUCAGGCUGAGCUCAGCCAUCCCUCGAGCACGGCAAAGUUUGUGUUCAUCCUGGAAUGCAACAGUGCACCACAUGUUACAGAAAUGGAUUAUCACUUCUGAUUCGUGUAAGUGUCUCCAAGUCAGCCAAGCACGCCAUCCUUCAAACCCACAUCAUUUGUUUUUGGUGGCAAAGCUGUAAUCACCAGUUCCAUCCCUCAGAUGAAAA
Molecule: long non-coding RNA, 457 nt
Organism: Parus major (Great Tit)
Lineage: Eukaryota; Metazoa; Chordata; Aves; Passeriformes; Paridae
Exons: 4
Source: RefSeq, a predicted model, not a curated record